Molecule: transfer RNA, 64 nt
Filed under: Cavia porcellus (domestic guinea pig)
Lineage: Eukaryota; Metazoa; Chordata; Mammalia; Rodentia; Caviidae
Rfam family: tRNA
About the family: Transfer RNA (tRNA) molecules are approximately 80 nucleotides in length. Their secondary structure includes four short double-helical elements and three loops (D, anti-codon, and T loops). Further hydrogen bonds mediate the characteristic L-shaped molecular structure. tRNAs have two regions of fundamental functional importance: the anti-codon, which is responsible for specific mRNA codon recognition, and the 3' end, to which the tRNAs corresponding amino acid is attached (by aminoacyl-tRNA synthetases). tRNAs cope with the degeneracy of the genetic code in two manners: having more than one tRNA (with a specific anti-codon) for a particular amino acid; and 'wobble' base-pairing, i.e. permitting non-standard base-pairing at the 3rd anti-codon position.
Source: Rfam by way of RNAcentral
GGGGAUUUAGCUCAGUGGCAUAAGCACCUGCCUUGCAAGCAGGCAGUCAUAAGUUCGAUCCCCA